UGAGGAAUAUUGGGCAAUGCCCGCAAGGGUGACCCAGCAACGCCGCGUGGAGGAUGAAUGUCGUAAGAUUGUAAACUCCUGUUAGAGGGGAAGAAUAGUACCGGUUGGACCGGUAUAUGACUGUACCCUCAGAGAAAGCCCCGGCUAACUACGUGCCAGCAGCCGCGGUAAUACGUAGGGGGCAAGCGUUGUCCGGAUUUACUGGGUGUAAAGGGCGCGCAGGCGGGAUAAGAAGUCAGUGGUGAAAUCCUACAGCUUAACUGUAGAACUGCUGUUGAUACUUUUAUUCUUGAGUUCGGGAGAGAGACGGAAUUCCAGGUGUAGUGGUGAAAUACGUAGAUAUCUGGAAGAACACCAGUUGCGAAGGCGGUCUCUUGGUCCGACACUGACGCUGAGGCGCGAAAGCGUGGGGAGCAAACA
RNAcentral lists this ribosomal RNA (420 nucleotides) under uncultured bacterium. RNAcentral describes it as "bacterial SSU rRNA". It matches the Rfam family "Bacterial small subunit ribosomal RNA", at positions 355 to 774 of the family's 1533-position model. The record is from RNAcentral.